Molecule: unclassified non-coding RNA, 372 nt
Filed under: Hevea brasiliensis (rubber tree)
Lineage: Eukaryota; Viridiplantae; Streptophyta; Magnoliopsida; Malpighiales; Euphorbiaceae
Source: RNAcentral
GGCAAAUACAAUGUCAUUGAAACAAUAUUCAUAUUGUUCAGAGUUUUCCUUGAACUUCUUUACGGAAACGGGUCUUUGUUGCAAAACACCCUUGUACAGCUUAUAGCCUGAAUCACGAGUUAUAAUCUUCUGUGGAUCAUAGUCAUUUGUUGCUCUCUUGAGCUCAUCAGCAGGAUAGAUACGAAUAGGAUUACAUUUCCCAUCACAAGUGGCAAUUAGCUUCUCUAGUAACAUUCCUCCAUUCUUCAUGAAUGCUGUUUCCAUUUCUGGUUUCUUAUCCCUCUUGAUUCUCCAACAUGAAGUCAUUUCACCUGUCUGCUUGCUGCCGAUGAUAGAGUCAGAUAUGAGGUAAAUAAGAAAGCGAUCUGAGAG